AACAAUAAUCAGGCUCUGAUUUGUAGCAUUUGUCAAUUUGUUUGAUGUAAAUAUUCCCACCAUCGCUGAUUUCAAGCCACCAACAUGAGUUACUGCAGGAGGUGUUGAACAGAGAUGCUCAGUAGCGCACCUUCAUAUGGUAUUUCUGCCAUACAUAUACAAUAGAUGUAAACAACCUCAACAGCAUAGGUAAUUGAAAGAUGGGAUAAAUAGGAAGUGAUGAAUUUUUGGCAUUCAUUAGCUUUGUUUUUGUUAUAAUGUAUUUAAUUGUAAAUUUGCCUAAGUUAAUUUUUAAUAACUGUUUGACAACCAGCUCACGAAAUUCCUGAAAUUUUACCAGUCCGUUCAUGAACCCGUAUGAGCUUCUCCUGCACACUACUUUAAGAAGAGUUCAAGGGCUUUCUCUUUCUUGAUCUCCAACAGGCUGUUGGUUAUUUUCCCUCUGGAAGGACCUCUUGUGCACCUGUCCUAUUGUCAUUAUUUCUUUCCAUGUUUGUCUGUGCAUCAGAGUAGUUUGUUGAGGGCUGAGAUUAUAGAUUAUAACUCAUUCAUCUUGGUAAUGGCCCAAUAAACCCAUAAAGUUUUUUGAUCAAAUGCAUAGGUCAGAGAUUUUCAAAUCUUAUUUCCAAAAGCCCAAGAAUUCUGCAGAAACAUCUCUGGGGUCCCCACAAGCUGACAGGAAGGCUGGAGUAGCAAUGCUCCAAAAGCCCAAAGAAAGUGCCACAGAAAAGAAGCAAUCAGCAAAUGAGAAGGAGCUCCUGGAAAUGAUUAUUGCUAAAAAUUAUUUUAAAAAAUCAAUUGAAAGCUUGAAAUGCAAAGUUAAGAAAAUCUCCCAGAACAUGGAGACAAUGGCAUAAAGUAUGGGAGGAAAAAAAUAUUCAAACAGGAUCAAUUCAGGAGGCCCAAUAUCCAACUAAGAGUAGGAGUUCCAGAACAAGAAAAGAAAGAAGAUGGAGGGGAGGGAAUUAUUGCAGAAAUAAUUACAUUUUAAAAGUCCCCAGAGCCAAAAAGGGACACCGAGUCUUUAAAUUGAAAGAGCUAAGAGAAUAUCAAGCAGAUAUAGAAUUGAGCAAUUUAAGAAUAUUAAAGAUUAAAGCAGAUCCUGGAUAUUUCUAUGGAAACUAGAACAUCAGCUCACAAAAACCAGAACAUUGACUCUGACAAAUAAACCGGAAUAAGGGUGACAUCAUAAUACUCUAUAGCAACGAUAGAGGCCCAGAGAAUAAUAGCCAACACUUAACAUGACGCCCACGAUGUGCAGGCACUGUUCUAAGCAUUUUACAUAUGUAAACUGGUUAAUCCUCAUCACAACUCCAUGAGUUUCCUGGUUGAAGGAUUAAUUAUCUGCUACCUGAUCUAAAGUUGAUAAAUGAAAAACAUCAGUAUUAACACAUGACAUG
This 1400-nucleotide long non-coding RNA is filed under the name Homo sapiens (human). RNAcentral describes it as "HSALNT0382084". The record is from RNAcentral. Lineage: Eukaryota; Metazoa; Chordata; Mammalia; Primates; Hominidae.